This 564-nucleotide ribosomal RNA is filed under the name uncultured bacterium. RNAcentral describes it as "bacterial SSU rRNA". It matches the Rfam family "Bacterial small subunit ribosomal RNA", at positions 338 to 916 of the family's 1533-position model. The record is from RNAcentral.
CCUACGGGAGGCAGCAGUUGGGAAUCGUUGUCAAUGGGGGAAACCCUGAUUACGCGACGCCGCGUGGUGGAGGAAGGGUCUAGGCUCGUAAACUCCUUUUUCAGGGAAAGACUUAGGACGGUACCCUGAGAAUAAGCUCCGGCUAACUACGUGCCAGCAGCCGCGGUAAGACGUAGGGAGCGAGCGUUGUCCGGAUUUACUGGGCGUAAAGAGCACGUAGGCGGUCUGUUAAGUGAGAAGUGAAAUCUCCAGCGCUCAACGCGGAAACGGCUUUUCAUACUGGCAGACUUGAGGGAUGCAGAGGCAAGUAGAAUUCCUGGUGUACCGGUGACAUGGGUUGAUAUCAGGAGGAAUACCAAUGGCGAAGGCAGCUUGCUGGGCAUCAUCUGACGCUGAGGUGCGAAAGCGUGGGUAGCAAACAGGAUUAGAUACCCUGGUAGUCCACGCCCUAAACGAUGGAUACUAGGCGUAUGGGGUAUCGACCCCCCAUGUGCCGUAGCUAACGCAUUAAGUAUCCCGCCUGGGGAGUACGGCCGCAAGGUUGAAACUCAAAUGAAUUGACGG